GAUGGAUCACAUGGCACCAUGACUGGUUACCUCCGCCAACAGAUGCUUCCUAGCCGACGCUGAGGACCGUAAGCACCGCACUGGACACCAAAAGCACCGCAGACUCCACAACCGCCGUAGCUUAGCUGGGAUCUCGCCGUCUUCCUCCCACCCUGGACCAACCUCGAAUAUCCAGGACAUGUGGGAAAGACCUCUCCUACUCCAGAAAGCGUAGCAGGAACAGCUCUUAUAAGAGCUAGUGAUUUAGCCCCAGGGGAGUAUAAGGAGUAUAGCAAUCCCCAGUGUGAAUAUAACAGUAUAGCAGUUCCCCUCCAAUCACGAGACCAAGCUAUGUGUUGAGGAUUAAGCAGGACUCAAUUUUAAUGGUGCCACACUGGCCUUUUAUGACAACCCCCAAGCAAGGUGUACACCCACAUGGACAGGGACACAAACUUACAAACCAAUGAUAACACAUUUACAAUGUAUGACACUCCCACAUACAAUACAAUAAUCCUUCUCCUUUAUUUAGGAGAUAAUUGAGUCAAACACUAUACUAAACUCAAUUAUCUCCAAACACAAAAAAAACACUUUUUCAAAAAGUCCCAAAAGUACACCAAAACAUAUAAUAUCCCCCACAAAUGUUACAUCCACUGAUAGCCCUGAUCUGGGUGACCAACAUAUCCAAAUUCACCCAGAUCAGAUAAAAGGUUCAGAAAUUUUAUGGAAGUAAUAUUUUUUACCGACAGCAGGCAAUGUCCCAUAGUUGAAAAUAGCUCCAUAGAAUCGCGGCUAAGUGCCGCUGGAGAACCGUUCGGGAACCACAAGGUUUUCAUGCCGAAAAUAGUUCCAGGGCAUUCGUGGCUUAGUCCCCCUGAAGUCUAUUCACGGUUUUGGUCCAUGCGAACAAGAUGGCCGCCACCACGUGGUCAAAUGGCACUUCAAAUGGCUUCGGGAGUUCGGGAGUUCAAAGUGCUGCUUGAAAAGUUCGAAUAAUUAUUGUCCAAAGUCAUAUUAAGUACAAAUUUUUUUUUUUCUUUUAACAAUAGUAAAUUAAAGGGGCCAUGGUCACAGGGUAAAAGGCUGGCAAGUAGUCCUCUCCAAACCCCAGUGGCUCAGUGGCUUUCACCACAUGUAGUUCAGAUGAACAUUUUCAAAAAUAAAAUGGCAGAAAGGCAUAGGCUAGUAUUGGAUAGGAAAAUCUAAUAGAUAUACAUGUUACAAACAAUGGCCUUCAUUUAAUAAUUUUGGAUAAGCUUUUCAAACUUUUUAAUAUUUUUGGAUACACGUUUAAAAGAUUUUUUCAAAAUAUGAAAACAUAAAAAAAUAUAAUGGAAAAAAAUUAGUAUAUUAAAAAAUGUC
Non-coding RNA from Pelobates cultripes (western spadefoot toad), 1338 nucleotides. Lineage: Eukaryota; Metazoa; Chordata; Amphibia; Anura; Pelobatidae. The record is from the annotation of a GenBank genome assembly.